GAAGGAUAUAAAACGGGAUGACAUCACUACAAAGAUACAGCCUCUGCUCUCUGGUUCCCUGCUAUGCCAUGCUGCUCUUGCCACUGCCUCCUACUGGAAAUAAGUGUACAUGUUCUGCAUGAUUUCUACUUCUCUCAGAUUCUCGAGCUAAAAUGGAUAUGAUGCCUUUGGAGGUUCAGCCUGGAAUGCAGAUUCAGCAACAUGGAAGCUGGAAGAAGAGUAAAUGGAGCUGUCAGUGUAACAACUAACCCUGGAGCUGUAAAACGAGCUGUAAAAUGGAUUUUAUUCCAGAAUAUUACAAGUUCUGUCAUUAUGGAGAAGAUUAACGACACAGCCUGAUGGAGGUCUACUGCUCUUAGAGAUGCUAGAAUGUCUGAGACAAGAAACGGCUUUGUAAUUAUAACUGUCUUAGUGGAAAUAAAAGGGCAAAAAGGGAGCA
RNAcentral lists this long non-coding RNA (439 nucleotides) under Coturnix japonica (Japanese quail). Its description in RNAcentral is "lncRNA (ENSCJPG00005006801.1)". Lineage: Eukaryota; Metazoa; Chordata; Aves; Galliformes; Phasianidae. The record is from RNAcentral.